RNAcentral lists this ribosomal RNA (503 nucleotides) under uncultured bacterium. RNAcentral's name for it is "bacterial SSU rRNA". It matches the Rfam family "Bacterial small subunit ribosomal RNA", at positions 19 to 518 of the family's 1533-position model. The record is from RNAcentral.
CUGGCUCAGAUGAACGCUGGCGGCAUGCCUACACAUGCAAGUCGAGCGGCAGCGCGGGGGCAACCCUGGCGGCGAGCGGCGAACGGGUGAGUAAUACAUCGGAACGUGUCCUGCAGUGGGGGAUAACCAUCGAAAGGUAGGCUAAUACCGCAUGGGCUCGGGAGAGCAAAGCGGGGGACCGCAAGGCCUCGCGCUACAGGAGCGGCCGAUGUCCGAUUAGCUAGUAGGUGGGGUAAGAGCCCACCUAGGCGACGAUCGGUAGCUGGUCUGGAGAGGAUGAUCAGCCACACUGGGACUGAGACACGGCCCAGACUCCUACGGGAGGCAGCAGUGGGGAAUUUUGGACAAUGGGGGCAACCCUGAUCCAGCCAUGCCGCGUGAAGUGAAGAAGGCCUUCGGGUUGUAAAGCUCUUUCGGCGGGAACGAAAGGGGUCGUGCUAAUACCAUGGCCCGAUGACGGUACUCGCAGAAGAAGCACCGGCUAACUACGUGCCAGCCGCCGC